AGCGCAGGCGGUGAUUUAAGUCUGAUGUGAAAGCCCACGGCUCAACCGUGGAAGGUCAUUGGAAACUGGAUCACUUGAGUGCAGAAGAGGAAAGUGGAAUUCCAUGUGUAGCGGUGAAAUGCGUAGAUAUAUGGAGGAACACCAGUGGCGAAGGCGACUUUCUGGUCUGUAACUGACGCUGAGGCUCGAAAGCAUGGGGAGCAAACAG
Molecule: ribosomal RNA, 208 nt
Filed under: uncultured Bacilli bacterium
Lineage: Bacteria; Bacillati; Bacillota; Bacilli
Description: partial 16S ribosomal RNA
Rfam family: Bacterial small subunit ribosomal RNA
Source: RNAcentral